CCUACGGGAGGCAGCAGUGGGGAAUUUUCCGCAAUGGGCGAAAGCCUGACGGAGCAAUACCGCGUGAGGGAAGACUGCCUAUGGGUUGUAAACCUCUUUUUUCAGGGAGGAAUAAAAUGACGUGUACCUGAAGAAUAAGCAUCGGCUAACUCCGUGCCAGCAGCCGCGGUAAGACGGAGGAUGCAAGUGUUAUCCGGAAUCACUGGGCGUAAAGCGUCUGUAGGUGGUUUAAUAAGUCAACUGUUAAAUCUUGAGGCUCAACUUCAAAACCGCAGUCGAAACUAUUAGACUAGAGUAUAGUAGAGGUAAAGGGAAUUUCCAGUGGAGCGGUGAAAUGCGUAGAUAUUGGAAAGAACACCGAUGGCGAAAGCACUUUACUGGGCUAUUACUAACACUCAGAGACGAAAGCUAGGGUAGCAAAUGGGAUUAGAUACCCCAGUAGUCCUAGCCGUAAACUAUGGAUACUAGAUGUUGAACAGAUCGACCUGUGCAGUAUCAAAGCUAAACGCGUUAAAGUAUCCCGCCUGGGAAGUAUGCUCGCAAGAGUGAAAACUUAAAGGAAAUUGACGGCUGAGAGUGCGACGACGACACGAGGAGAG
RNAcentral lists this ribosomal RNA (599 nucleotides) under uncultured bacterium. Its description in RNAcentral is "bacterial SSU rRNA". It matches the Rfam family "Bacterial small subunit ribosomal RNA", at positions 338 to 946 of the family's 1533-position model. The record is from RNAcentral.